This 363-nucleotide ribosomal RNA is filed under the name uncultured bacterium. RNAcentral describes it as "partial 16S ribosomal RNA". It matches the Rfam family "Bacterial small subunit ribosomal RNA", at positions 338 to 698 of the family's 1533-position model. The record is from RNAcentral.
CCUACGGGAGGCAGCAGUGAGGAAUAUUGGUCAAUGGGCGGAAGCCUGAACCAGCCAAGUAGCGUGCAGGAUGACGGCCCUACGGGUUGUAAACUGCUUUUAUACGGGAAUAACGCGCCUUACGUGUAGGGCUUUGCAUGUACCGUAUGAAUAAGGACCGGCUAAUUCCGUGCCAGCAGCCGCGGUAAUACGGAAGGUCCGGGCGUUAUCCGGAUUUAUUGGGUUUAAAGGGAGCGUAGGCCGCAUGCCAAGCGUGCUGUGAAAUGUCCGGGCUCAACCCGGGCCUUGCAGCACGAACUGGGGUGCUUGAGUCGAGGGAAGGCAGGCGGAAUGCGUGGGGUAGCGGGGAAAUGCUUAGAUAUG